RNAcentral lists this ribosomal RNA (118 nucleotides) under Pteropus alecto (black flying fox). The record is from RNAcentral. Lineage: Eukaryota; Metazoa; Chordata; Mammalia; Chiroptera; Pteropodidae.
GUCUAUAGCCAUGCCACCCUGAACAAGCCCGAUCCCAUCUGAUCUCGGAAGCUAAGCAGGGUCGGGCCUGUUUAAUAUUGGAUGGGAGACCACCUAGGAAGACCAGGUGCUGUAGGCA